Molecule: ribosomal RNA, 459 nt
Filed under: uncultured bacterium
Lineage: Bacteria
Description: partial 16S ribosomal RNA
Rfam family: Bacterial small subunit ribosomal RNA
Source: RNAcentral
CCUACGGGUGGCAGCAGUGAGGAAUAUUGGUCAAUGGACGCAAGUCUGAACCAGCCAUGCCGCGUGCAGGAAGACGGCUCUAUGAGUUGUAAACUUCUUUUGUCCGAGGAUAAAUCCCGAUACGUGUAUCUGGUUGAAAGUAUCGUACGAAUAAGGAUCGGCUAACUCCGUGCCAGCAGCCGCGGUAAUACGGAGGAUUCAAGCGUUAUCCGGAUUUAUUGGGUUUAAAGGGUGCGCAGGCGGAUUGUUAAGUCAGCGGUCAAAUCGUGGGGCUCAACCCCAUCCAGCCGUUGAAACUGGGGAUCUAGAGUGGGAGAGAGGUAUGCGGAAUGCGUGGUGUAGCGGUGAAAUGCAUAGAUAUCACGCAGAACCCCGAUUGCGAAGGCAGCAUACCGGUGCACAACUGACGCUCAGGCACGAAAGCGUGGGUAUCGAACAGGAUUAGAUACCCGGGUAGUC